Long non-coding RNA from Sinocyclocheilus rhinocerous, 112 nucleotides. RefSeq lists it as uncharacterized. The record is from RefSeq and is a predicted model, not a curated record. The transcript is spliced from 3 exons. NCBI's taxonomy places the organism in Eukaryota, Metazoa, Chordata, Actinopteri, Cypriniformes, Cyprinidae.
AAUAUAUCCAGUAAAUAUGCAUGUGCUAAUCUCAGAAAUGAUCCACUUACUUUUCAUCCAAAUAUUUAUUUGACACUGAUUUAAAAACAGUAUUUUGUACCAAGUCUUUUGG